Molecule: ribosomal RNA, 230 nt
Filed under: uncultured bacterium
Lineage: Bacteria
Description: partial 16S ribosomal RNA
Rfam family: Bacterial small subunit ribosomal RNA
Source: RNAcentral
GCAAGUUGAACGUGAAAUACACUUCGGUGUAUGGAAAGUAGCGCACGGGUGAGUAACACGUGGGAAUUUACACUUCAGUACGGAACAACAGUUGGAAACGACUGCUAAUACCGUAUAAUGACUCCGGUCCAAAGAUUUAUCGCUGAAGGAUAAGCCCGCGUCUGAUUAGCUAGUUGGUAGGGUAAAGGCCUACCAAGGCGACGAUCAGUAGCUGGUCUUAGAGGAUGACC